UUGCUUUGGUGGCAUAUAUACUAAAAUUGGAAUGAUACAGAGAAGAUUAGCAUGGCCCCUGAGCAAGGAUGACAUGAAAAUUCAUGACAUGUUCCAUAUUUUU
Choloepus hoffmanni (Hoffmann's two-fingered sloth) is the source of this 103-nucleotide small nuclear RNA. Lineage: Eukaryota; Metazoa; Chordata; Mammalia; Pilosa; Megalonychidae. The record is from Ensembl.